This is a long non-coding RNA of Actinia tenebrosa (Australian red waratah sea anemone), 1153 nucleotides long. The record is from RefSeq and is a predicted model, not a curated record. NCBI's taxonomy places the organism in Eukaryota, Metazoa, Cnidaria, Anthozoa, Actiniaria, Actiniidae.
CGUUUGGGAGUGAAAUUACAAUAUUAUCGCCAAGAAGAAUUUGAGAAUGAUGACAAAAAUUCCCUGACUUUUCCCUGACUUUUUAAUAAAUUGCAAAUUUCCCUGACUAAAAUCCAAAUUCCCUGACAAUUCCCUGACCUUGAAAAAAAAUCAGAAUUCCCUGACUUUUCCCUGACCGUGGGAACCCUGUUGCAGCAAAGAAAAAAAAAUCUAGAUAGAAAUCGAGAAGUUACAGGGUCAUCUGUAAAGAAUGUUUAAGGGUGUCUGGCAUGGAAAUACUUAUGCAACAAGUGACAAACCAAAGGUUAAAUGAACCCCUUAUCGACUCCCCAUAUCAUGUACUUAAGAAUGCUCAAGACUUAACCUGAUGAGCGCUAAGAACCAGUGUCUAAAUCCUUUAUUCUACUCUCUGUAGACCUGCUAGACAAAUGAUCACUUCCCAGUAUAAGCACGAAGCUAAACAAUCCAUGUUUGAGCUCCAGAAGUACAUUUGUUGUUUCUCAAGCGGUAAAAAGAAAGCGAUAGUUUAUAAUAGUCAUUCUGUGGAUGGAUCUGAUUAUUGAUAAGUUAAACUUACAUUCCAUACGAUGUAAUAAACACUCGCAUGUGUUCCAAUAGGCUCACAACCUCAAGCGAAUGAGUAGUUCCACAAAUAUUAAAACAAGCUAGUUGAAGCUAAUGAAUCAUACAGUGAUUCUGGAACUCAACUACGUAAUUUAAAAAACAUCCUUUUGCCUAUGGAAUGACAAUGAAAUAAAUAAAAUAAUUUCUCGCAAUCUCACUCCGCAGUCUUCUGCAAAUGACCUGCUCCAAAAACAUUUUAAUAAAGAAUACUCUGAAUGUUACCCAGCGAGAGAAUCUCUUUUUCACUCUCCUUCUGCCAGCAGGUGAUAUUUGUAUUUCUGACCUGAGCUGGUAUUGAUGGCCAACGAAGCUUCCUCUAUCAUCAACACAACGCCAAACCCAACCAAGGCGAACGCGAAACGACAGUCCAUUGAAGAAGUUUUCCAAUAGAUGUACGUUAUAAUUCACAAAUCUGUGGUUUCACUUGGUAGCCUCGAUUCACAGACUUCCUGCGAAGAUAUCAAAUUAAUUAAUAUAUUUUAUGCUCACACUCCGCCAACAGUUAUCAAUAAACGUAACGUUCAGUUAA